This is a small nucleolar RNA of Manihot esculenta (cassava), 133 nucleotides long. RefSeq annotates it as small nucleolar RNA Z247. The transcript has a single exon. NCBI's taxonomy places the organism in Eukaryota, Viridiplantae, Streptophyta, Magnoliopsida, Malpighiales, Euphorbiaceae. The record is from RefSeq and is a predicted model, not a curated record.
CCAAUUUGUGAUGAAGAUUUAAUUGUCCAUAUUAUUGCCCAGUUAGGUGAUGAAUAUAAACCUAUUGUUGCUGCUAUAAAGGUACGAGAAUCUGCGAUUUCUUUUAAUGACUUAUUUGAAAAGCUGACUGAUU